Molecule: ribosomal RNA, 301 nt
Filed under: uncultured bacterium
Lineage: Bacteria
Description: partial 16S ribosomal RNA
Rfam family: Bacterial small subunit ribosomal RNA
Source: RNAcentral
CAGUCGCCACGGUAAUACGAGGGGGGCUAGCGUUGCUCGGAAUGACUGGGCGUAAAGGGCGCGUAGGCGGCGGCCAAAGUCAGGCGUGAAAUUCCUGGGCUCAACCUGGGGGCUGCGUUUGAUACUUGGUUGCUUGAGUGGGGAAGAGGGUCGUGGAAUUCCCAGUGUAGGGGUGAAAUUCGUAGAUAUUGGGAAGAACACCGGUGGCGAAGGCGGCGACCUGGUCCUUUACUGACGCUGAGGCGCGAAAGCGUGGGGAGCAAACAGGAUUAGAUACCCGCGUAGUCCCUGUCUCUUAUAC